Haliotis rubra (blacklip abalone) is the source of this 101-nucleotide long non-coding RNA. RefSeq lists it as uncharacterized. The transcript is spliced from 3 exons. Lineage: Eukaryota; Metazoa; Mollusca; Gastropoda; Lepetellida; Haliotidae. The record is from RefSeq and is a predicted model, not a curated record.
GUCGACUUCCGUACUCUGACGUCUCACCUCAGUCUGCAUGUCGACAGUGUUGUGGUGAAACAUGACGUCUCACGUCAGUCUGCAUGUCGACAUUGAUGUGG